Molecule: long non-coding RNA, 1316 nt
Organism: Fukomys damarensis (Damara mole-rat)
Lineage: Eukaryota; Metazoa; Chordata; Mammalia; Rodentia; Bathyergidae
Exons: 4
Source: RefSeq, a predicted model, not a curated record
CAAAGGCACAAGUGAUGACUUGUCUCUGCAUGUGGGAUUCCUCAGCCCAGCCGAAGCGGUGAGGUGUGCAGCAGAAGGCAGGUUGUGCAAGCUGGAAAUUCUGGUUGGGCUCCUCUAGCACACCCUCUGGACUUGGUAAACUUCGACAUGCCUUUGCCCCAGAUGGAGAUAAAACAGAAUGUUCAAGCUUAGGCCUGAUUGAGGGAAGGAGGCUACUGACCAAAGAGAAAGGGUCUCAAAAAGAAAAGAAAAAGAGAGAGAGAGAGAGAGCCCAAGCCCUUGUGCACACCAGGAACCAGCCCUACAUGUCAGUUCCUGCUUGCACAGAGUCUCAAUGUGAACCGGAGCAAGAAAUCCAAGAUGGCGUUCUCUUCAGGUUUCCACAGUUUUGUUUGGGUCCUAUAUCUCCAUCCUCACUACCCACAGCACUUGUCAUAGGAACCUCAGCAUCCAGUUUAUGGGCUGGUGUCCCACUGUAAGUGUCAGAGGGAAUGAACAUCACUGGAGACCCCUGCAGUAAGUCCCAGACUCCUGUGAACCACCACGGACAGAACUAAGCUUAUAGUGAAGCUGAGUCUUGGGUCCUGGUCAAUGCCGCUCCAGGUAACAAAGACAAAAGCCCCCAAGCACACCCAGUACUUAUUGAAUGCAAUUGUGAGAAGGAAUAGGGAGCCAGGGAGCGUUGAAAUCAUCUAGUGAAUUACUGCCAGGGAGUUGGCACUGUUUAUCUUGCUAGGACAGAAGGAACCAGUACUGGGACCAGGCGCAAUUAUCAAGAAACCCACAAGGUCAGUGAGAAGCAAUAAUUCAGAGGAGAAUUUUAAUUGGGGUCACGCUGACCUCAGCUGCAUGUAAUUCAGCAGGACCCUGCCACUUCACAGGACUUAAGACUCAGUGACAGCCAUUAGCAAAGCAGCAGUACUAGCCCAACUCUGCUAGCUGACAUGCCCGUUUGAGUCACACAGGGCUUCAGUCUGACUCCUGAUAUAAAACAGUAUCGCUGAAUCAGGGAAAGCAAGAAGCAUGUGCCACUCAUAGCCCUCUAGUACUGGGCAGGAUGUCUCAUACAUCCCACUGGCUUCAAGGUCGGCAUCAAUUACCAGCCUCCCACCGUGGUGUGUGGUGCUGGUGGAGACCUGGCCAAGGUGCAGCGGGCUGCGUGCAUGUGAGCAACACCACAGCCAUUGCUGAGGCCUGGCCUCUCCUGGACCACAAGUUCGAUCUGAUGUUUGUACCUUUGUUCACUGGUACGUGGGUGAGGGGAUGGAGGAAAAGGAGUUUUCUGGGGCCUAUACAACAUGCUGCCCUAGCUGACG